ACGUCUUCCCUGAUCCGGUCUGGUGGGGACAAAAAAGAAGAAGAAAAGAUCUAUUAAAGCUAUAUAUGCAUCAUGAAGCUGAAACUGAAACCGAUGAGCAUUUGGUGGUUCUGGGAGCACGGAGACACAGUCGACCCCAUCAUCAUCGUGUCACAAACAGCUGGAGCCAAAAAAAUAAAAAGCAGGUAAUUUGUGUUCCAUCCCAGCCCCAGACCACAUGUUGUGCUGCUGGCCUUUUCCGUGUGGCUAGGCCCCCAACUUGGUGGUCCAAGCUUUUUCAGCUCCUUGGCUGCACGGCAUCAAUGGCACAUGGGAUGCGAGCCAAAUGAUUGAGGGAGGGGAGGACCGACCCCGACCGAGGAGAGCAGGCAUGCGUGGUGGUGGCCGACGAAGAGGAUAGAGGAAGCAGCAGGAUGCCAACCUGGCCGUAUGCCAGCACCGUAGC
This 445-nucleotide unclassified non-coding RNA is filed under the name Zea mays. RNAcentral describes it as "misc RNA Zm00001eb307080". The record is from RNAcentral. Lineage: Eukaryota; Viridiplantae; Streptophyta; Magnoliopsida; Poales; Poaceae.